GCUCAGUUGGUUGAGUGUCCAACUCUUGAUCUCAGCUCAAGUCUUGAUUACAGGGUCAUGAGUUCAAGUCCCAUAUUGGGCU
This 82-nucleotide transfer RNA is filed under the name Mustela putorius furo (domestic ferret). It matches the Rfam family "tRNA". From Rfam's summary of the family: Transfer RNA (tRNA) molecules are approximately 80 nucleotides in length. Their secondary structure includes four short double-helical elements and three loops (D, anti-codon, and T loops). Lineage: Eukaryota; Metazoa; Chordata; Mammalia; Carnivora; Mustelidae. The record is from Rfam by way of RNAcentral.